AGUCACUGACAUUAGAUACCCGGGUAGUCCAGGGUGUAAACGCUGCAGACUUGGUGUUGGGAACCCUUCGGGGGUGCUCAGUGCCGGAGAGAAGUUGUUAAGUCUGCUACUUGGGGAGUACGUCCGCAAGGAUGAAACUUAAAGGAAUUGGCGGGGGAGCACCGCAACGGGAGGAGCGUGCGGUUUAAUUGGAUUCAACACCGUAAAACUCACCAGGGAAGACUGUUACAUGAAGGCCGAGAUGAAGACUCUGCUAGAUUUUCAG
RNAcentral lists this ribosomal RNA (265 nucleotides) under uncultured archaeon. RNAcentral describes it as "partial 16S ribosomal RNA". It matches the Rfam family "Archaeal small subunit ribosomal RNA", at positions 719 to 982 of the family's 1478-position model. The record is from RNAcentral.